This 500-nucleotide ribosomal RNA is filed under the name uncultured bacterium. Its description in RNAcentral is "partial 16S ribosomal RNA". It matches the Rfam family "Bacterial small subunit ribosomal RNA", at positions 30 to 523 of the family's 1533-position model. The record is from RNAcentral.
AUUGAACGCUGGCGGCAUGCCUCACACAUGCAAGUCGAACGGCAGCACGGGAGCAAUCCUGGUGGCGAGUGGCGAACGGGUGAGUAAAGUAUCGGAACGUGCCCAGUCGUGGGGGAUAACGUAGCGAAAGUUACGCUAAUACCGCAUACGAUCUAUGGAUGAAAGCGGGGGAUCGCAAGACCUCGCGCGAUUGGAGCGGCCGAUAUCAGAUUAGGUAGUUGGUGGGGUAAAGGCUCACCAAGCCGACGAUCUGUAGCUGGUCUGAGAGGACGACCAGCCACACUGGGACUGAGACACGGCCCAGACUCCUACGGGAGGCAGCAGUGGGGAAUUUUGGACAAUGGGCGAAAGCCUGAUUCAGCCAUGCCGCGUGCAGGAUGAAGGCCUUCGGGUUGUAAACUGCUUUUGUACGGAACGAAAAGGUUUGGCCUAAUAAGCUGAGCUCAUGACGGUACCGUAAGAAUAAGCACCGGCUAACUACGUGCCAGCCGCCGCAGUAA